RNAcentral lists this ribosomal RNA (466 nucleotides) under uncultured bacterium. RNAcentral's name for it is "partial 16S ribosomal RNA". It matches the Rfam family "Bacterial small subunit ribosomal RNA", at positions 28 to 506 of the family's 1533-position model. The record is from RNAcentral.
GGUGAACGCUGACAGAAUGCUUAACACAUGCAAGUCAACUUGAAUUUGGGUUUUUAACUUAGGUUUGGGUGGCGGACGGGUGAGUAACGCGUAAAGAACUUGCCUCACAGCUAGGGACAACAUUUGGAAACGAAUGCUAAUACCUAAUAUUAUGAUAAUAGGGCAUCCUAUAAUUAUGAAAGCUAUAAGCGCUGUGAGAGAGCUUUGCGUCCCAUUAGCUAGUUGGAGAGGUAACGGCUCACCAAGGCGAUGAUGGGUAGCCGGCCUGAGAGGGUGAUCGGCCACAAGGGGACUGAGACACGGCCCUUACUCCUACGGGAGGCAGCAGUGGGGAAUAUUGGACAAUGGACCGAGAGUCUGAUCCAGCAAUUCUGUGUGCACGAUGAAGUUUUUCGGAAUGUAAAGUGCUUUCAGUUGGGAAGAAACAAAUGACGGUACCAACAGAAGAAGUGACGGCUAAAUACGU